Puntigrus tetrazona (Sumatra barb) is the source of this 4125-nucleotide RNA transcript. It is a transcript of the gene named gastrula zinc finger protein XlCGF7.1-like, with no coding region annotated. The transcript has 7 exons. The record is from RefSeq and is a predicted model, not a curated record. NCBI's taxonomy places the organism in Eukaryota, Metazoa, Chordata, Actinopteri, Cypriniformes, Cyprinidae.
GGAGAAGAUGUCAGUAGUUUCCAUCCUCGGUCGGUCAGCGCUCGUUUGUUGGGAGAUUUGAGCCUGUCACUGUAAGACAAUCACAAUCACACCUUCAGUGAAGCUCCUCCCACAACAAACACACCUUCAAUGAAGCUCCUCCCACAACAAUCACACGUUCAGUAAAGCUCCUCCCACAAAAAAUAUCACAUCUUCAGUGAAGCUCCUCCCACAACAAACACACCUUCAAUGAAGCUCCUCCCACAACAAUCACACGUUCAGUAAAGCUCCUCCCACAACAAAAUCACAUCUUCAGUGAAGCUCCUCCCACAACAAUCUCGCCUUCAGUGAAGCUCCUCCCACAACAAUCUCACCUUCAGUGAAGCUCCUCCCACUGCGGUUCAGUAAUAAAUGCUGGAAUAUUCCCAUCAGUCUACAAGUCAAGACGAGGAUCAGAGAAUCAGGAAGAAGAGAAAUCUGCAGAAACAGAGAGAACAUGAGAGAUCCAGAACCCUGCAGAAUGAAACACACUGAAGAACAAACAGAACCGAUUAAACAAAACGAGAACAACGAAAUUAAUGAAGAGGAGGAGAAACAUCACGUCGAAAAAGCUUUGAGUCGCUCUCAAACCAAACAGAAUUGUUUAAAGAAAAGGAGAGAUGGUAAAUCUUUCACCUGCACUCAGUGUGGAAAGAGUUUGAAACGUGAACAGAAUCUCAAGAUUCACAUGAGGAGCCACACUGGAGAGAAACCAUACAAGUGCUCACACUGCGACAUGAGAUUCAGUCAGUCAGACACCCUGAAAACACACGAGAGGAUCCACACCGGAGAGAAACCAUACACAUGUGAUCAGUGCGGGAAGAGUUUCAGACAAAAACCUCAUUUUAUGGCACACAUGAGAGUUCACACGGGAGAGAAACCGUUCACUUGUGAUCUGUGCGGGAAGAGUUUUACGCAAUCAACAACCCUUAAGAAACACAUGAACAUCCACUCUGGAGAGAAACCGUUCACGUGUGAUCAGUGCGGGAAGAGUUUUAUACAGUCAGCAACCCUUAAGGAUCACAUGAUCAUCCACACCGGAGAGAAAGUGCAUGAAUGUGACGAGUGCCGCAAAACAUUUCUGAGGGCUUCAAACCUGAAGAGUCACCUGAAAGUUCAUUUAAAGGAGAAACCACAUUCGUGUUCUUUGUGCGGACGGACUUUUUCACACCAGCAAAAUUUAAAAAUACAUCAGAAGAGACAUAGCGGUGUGAGAGAUUUCGUGUGCUUCGAGUGUGGGAAGACUUUCAUUACGGCAGAAGAACUGAAACUGCACCAGAAGAUCCACACUGGAGAGAAACCUUACAAGUGUUCACACUGCGACAAGAGAUUCAUUCGGCCGGCACAACUUAAAUCACAUGAGAGGAUUCACACUGGAGAGAGACCAUAUCACUGCACCGCAUGCGGGAAGAGUUACACUCAUUCAUCCUCUCUUUGCACACAUACGAAAAACAAUCACAGUCAGUAGAUCAUCUUCAUCCAAUUUUUUUUAAUGGAAUAGUAAGUUUCCUUGCAGCUUCCUCUAUGUUGACAGUGAACAGACUAUAAAGUGAAUGAAUCUAACUCUACAAGAACAGUCUGGCUCUUCUGACUCACAACCUUUAACACUAGGACGCGGCAUCACGUUAUGAUCAUACCAUGCACCUGGAGAACAUGGAGUUGAUCGAGAUUAUAGCGCUCUAAAUACAUUAAAAGUUUUAAAAACACAAACUCACCGGCAAGACACCACAAGCAGAACAAAACUAAUUGGAGAAACAUUUUCUUUGCUGUUUCGCUGAAAACCCCACUCAAGACUGAAGUGUGAUAUUUAUCUGCUUAAAUCUGCUCUCGACAGGAUUCUCACGUCUCAGUUUCCUUUGUCGGAGGAAGUCAUCAAAAUACUCAAGGUUUUGCUGAUUCUCACUUUUUAAAGUGGAUUUAGGCCCAGCACAGGGUUGGACUGUUUUUUCAGUGGGCCGAUACACUUCUGGGUCAGUACAAUUUUUUAUUUCCACCAAGGACCAGCCCAUCAUUCAGGGACAACGGCCCAUCAGAAAGCACUAUAUAGACGGAGUGAUAAGGGAUCUUAUGGACAGAUCAAGGCGAAACCUUCUGAGAAGCUCAGAGAUGCCGCGAAACGUGCCUCGUCUUCGUCAAUUACGAAGUUUACACAACGUCUUAUUAUACUUUACUACUCCAAUUUUAUACUGUCCUGUGCUUUAACACAAUAUGUACUGGUGAAAGCGGUAUAUAAAUAAAGGUGAUUGAUUGAUUGACAUCACCCCAGCUGUACAGUAGGGACACCUGCCUGUCCCAGGAAGAACAUCAUCUGUUCCUCAAAAGUUUUUGGGUCCUGCUGCAGAUGAAGGCUGUCAGUAUGUGACUGGAAUCGUGGGUAAAAACCUGUUACUCCUGAGAGAACUGAAUCUGAGUGAACAUGAACUAGAAGACACACGAGUGAAUCAGAUCUCUGCUCUACUGCAGGAUAAACACUGUCAGAUCAACACACUGAAGUAAUGUACUCGAUUUCACAAUGUCACACGCUGCUGAGAAUAAUUAAGCCAAGCAUCUUCUCAAUAGACAUCAAGACAUCGAGACAUCAACGUGUCAAAAAGUGUGACGUUAACACAGCGUAGAUUUUAAACAUAGCAGACAAAAAUCAUGCGAGAAGGCUCAACAUUUACCAGUUUCACUUGCAUUUAUAAUUAACAGAUGCUAGUAUCGUCUUCUAUCAUGUAAAACUCUAAAAUAAACACUAAAAGUCUGCAGUUUUAUGGCACUUCAAAACUAAUUUCCCCUUACUGUCACAGACUGGUAUAUAUUUGUAUAUAUUUAUAUAUUUUUGUAUAGUUUUCUGUACUGUAUACUAUUUUGUGUAAGGGUAAAGUAAGUUGUGAUGUGGUCUAAGCAUUUGAAAGUUGUAGAGUGUUUCUUGUUGCUGAUAGAGCAUAUCAAAAUAACAUGUUUUCCAAUAAGCCUGUAUAGGUCAUUUGGACAAAUCCCUGAAAUACGACCCAUCAUAGCAUUGCGCCACCCCUACACUGUUUGGUACCAUUUUAUCUGCGUCGUAAUUUGUGCCUUGUGUAGCUUAGUCUGUAAAGCAUUGCGUUAUACGAUGAGACGUGAUCCUGCAAGCAUGGGUUCAAGCUCAUGAAGCUUAAUAAAUAGAAUUAAGUGCGGUCAUUCACAAAAUAUAAUUAAACAAAAAAGGCGAUAUUACUUUCGAGUCAAUGAGUUCGCCUAUUAGUGGUAUGAAAGGAGCACAGCUUUCACUCGCAGCCAAACUAACGCUACUAGCCAAUCAUUUUGCUCAAACACAAGACACGUAUAGUAGGCUAUAUUUAAGAGCAGAGUCGCAAGAAAAACUAUGUUUUAUCUCCUCUGUGUAUUAAACCUUUGCAAACACAGGAGUAUACAUCAGCCUAUUUCUAAUCUAUUUAAUAUGCCAUUUAUUGUAUUUUAUAUUUUUGUACAUUGAUAUAGUUUGCAUAUGGCCAUAUAUUAAAAUGACAUGCAUUUAAACAUUUCAUCAUGGCAAAGCAUGACAGCAAACUCUGCAGGCAUUUGUUAUAAUACAUAAUGUAAUUAAGUUUUUUGUUUUUUGUUCAUAUCAUAUAUAGGUAUUUCACAUUAUGUAUUUUAACAGUGUUGUUCAUUUAAAUGUAAUUACUUGGUUUUGAUAUUUUAUGCGCCAAUUAUUACUACCUUAUCAUUAGUCAUACUAAAGUUAUUAAGUUAGGCCUCGUGUUACUAAAAAUCUGUAUAUUUGGUAGGUUACUUGAUUACCAAAAUAAUCAUAGUUACAGCCCUAGAUUAGUUAAUAUAUUUCUGUCACGAUUUCCGUGGUUUCGCGGGAGAGAAAAGGAGUGCUCGAGACUCGAAAAUACAAAAACUUAAACAGAUUUAAUUCAAAACUGGUAAAAGUAUAUACAAAAGGCAGGUAGAACAAAAACCACGAAAAGGAGCUCGGGAAACAAAACAGAGUUACGUUGAAACAUUGAAACAUGGUAACGUUGAUGAUCCGACAACGUGCACACAACACACAGGGCUUAAAUACAAAGGGAAAUUAACUAAAUUAACGAGACAAGGCUGAAGACAAUUAAACAAUUAAACACCAAGGGGAAGGCA